GCACCCAACAGCUAGCCCCCUCCCAAAAAGCAACAAACAACAUUAAUACCCCCUAAUGCACAAUGCAUAAUAAACAAACCAUUUUACCUCCUUAGUAUAGGUGAUAGAAAAGGACAAUGGCGCUAUAGAAACAGUACCGCAAGGGAAAGCUGAAAGAGAAAUGAAAAACCCAGUUAAGAAAUAAAAAGCAGAGACUGCCCCUCGUACCUUUUGCAUCAUGACUUAGCUAGCAACCCUCAAGCAAAAUGUUUUUUAGUUUGAGCCCCCGAAACUUAGCGAGCUAUUCCAAGACAGCCUAACAUAGGGCAAACCCGUCUCUGUUGCAAAAGAGUGGGGUGAUCUUUGAGUAGAGGUGACAGACCUACCGAGCUUAGUUAUAGCUGGUUGCCUACAAAAUGAAUAGAAGUUCAGCCUUUGCUCUUUUUCUCUCCAUUUUGCAUACACUAACAGUGACACGAAGAAGACCUAAGAGUUAUUCAAGUGGGGGACAGCCCCCUUGAAAAAAGAAACAACUUUACUGGCAGGUUAAAGAUUAGAAAACAAAAGGAGUACUACUUAGGUGGGCCUGAAAGCAGCCACCCCUGCAGAAAGCGUUAAAGCUCGAGUUGUAAAUUUUCCCUAAUCCCAAAAAUUAAAUCUUAAACCCCCUUGCAUAGUAGGCCUUUCCAUGCAACCAUGGAAGAGACACUGCUAAGAUGAGUAAUAAGGGGACUCGAUCCCCUCCUAAACACUUGUUUACUUCAGAACGAACCUGCACUGAAAAUUAAUGCCCCCAAAACAAAGAGGGAAGUGAGAAAGCCAAAAAUAAUCUAGAAGCUCACUCAAAAUUUAGCAUUGACCCAACACAGGUGUGUACAAGGAAAGACUAAAAGGAAAAGAAGGAACUCGGCAAACACUGGCCUCGCCUGUUUACCAAAAACAUCGCCUCUUGCAAGAAAUGUAUAAGAGGUCCCGCCUGCCCUGUGACUGAUAAGUUUAACGGCCGCGGUAUUUUGACC
This 998-nucleotide ribosomal RNA is filed under the name Clevelandia ios (arrow goby). Its description in RNAcentral is "partial 16S ribosomal RNA". The stretch from base 186 to 998 matches the Rfam family "Bacterial large subunit ribosomal RNA", at positions 568 to 1898 of the family's 2925-position model. The record is from RNAcentral. Lineage: Eukaryota; Metazoa; Chordata; Actinopteri; Gobiiformes; Gobiidae.